AAGCAUUUAUACCGGGAAACUGCGAAUGGCUCAUUAAAUCAGUUAUCGUUUAUUUGAUAGUACCUUACUACUUGGAUAACCGUGGUAAUUCUAGAGCUAAUACAUGCUGAAAACCCCGACUCACGAAGGGGUGUAUUUAUUAGAUAAAAAACCAACGCCCUUCGGGGCUUCUUGGUGAUUCAUGAUAACUUUACGGAUCGCAUGGCCUUGCGCUGGCGACGGUUCAUUCAAAUUUCUGCCCUAUCAACUUUCGAUGGUAAGGUAUUGGCUUACCAUGGUUUCAACGGGUAACGGGGAAUUAGGGUUCGAUUCCGGAGAGGGAGCCUGAGAAACGGCUACCACAUCCAAGGAAGGCAGCAGGCGCGCAAAUUACCCAAUCCCGACACGGGGAGGUAGUGACAAUAAAUACUGAUACAGGGCUCUUUUGGGUCUUGUAAUUGGAAUGAGUACAAUUUAAACCUCUUAACGAGGAACAAUUGGAGGGCAAGUCUGGUGCCAGCAGCCGCGGUAAUUCCAGCUCCAAUAGCGUAUAUUAAAGUUGUUGCAGUUAAAAAGCUCGUAGUUGAACCUUGGGCCUGGCUGGCAGGUCCGCCUCACCGCGUGUACUUGUCCGGCCGGGUCUUCCUUCUGGAGAACCUCAUGCCCUUCACUGGGCGUGUUGGGGACCAGGACUUUUACUUUGAAAAAAUUAGAGUGUUCAAAGCAGGCCUUUGCUCGAAUACGUUAGCAUGGAAUAAUAGAAUAGGACGUGCGGUCCUAUUUUGUUGGUUUCUAGGACCGCCGUAAUGAUUAAUAGGGACAGUCGGGGGCAUCAGUAUUCAAUUGUCAGAGGUGAAAUUCUUGGAUUUAUUGAAGACUAACUACUGCGAAAGCAUUUGCCAAGGAUGUUUUCAUUAAUCAGUGAACGAAAGUUAGGGGAUCGAAGACGAUCAGAUACCGUCGUAGUCUUAACCGUAAACUAUGCCGACUAGGGAUCGGGCGAUGUUCUUUUUCUGACUCGCUCGGCACCUUACGAGAAAUCAAAGUUUUUGGGUCUGGGG
Molecule: ribosomal RNA, 1040 nt
Filed under: Alloneottiosporina thailandica
Lineage: Eukaryota; Fungi; Ascomycota; Dothideomycetes; Pleosporales; Phaeosphaeriaceae
Description: SSU rRNA
Rfam family: Eukaryotic small subunit ribosomal RNA
Source: RNAcentral